GACGAACGCUGGCGGCGUGCUUAACACAUGCAAGUCGAACGAUGAAGCCGGAGCUUGCUCUGGUGAAUUAGUGGCGAACGGGUGAGUAACACGUGAGUAACCUGCCCUUGACUCUGGGAUAACGGCGGGAAACUGUAGCUAAUACCGGAUACGACCCUCGGAGGCAUCUCCUGGGGGUGGCAAGAAUUUCGGUCAAGGAUGGACUCGCGGCCUAGCAGCUAGUUGGGGAGGUAAAGGCUCACCAAGGCGACGACGGGUAGCCGGCCUGAGAGGGUGACCGGCCACACUGGGACUGAGACACGGCCCAGACUCCUACGGGAGGCAGCAGUGGGGAAUAUUGCACAAUGGGCGCAAGCCUGAUGCAGCAACGCCGCGUGAGGGAUGACGGCCUUCGGGUUGUAAACCUCUUUUAGCAGGGAAGAAGCGAAAGUGACGGUACCUGCAGAAAAAGCACCGGCUAACUACGUGCCAGCCGCCGCCGUAA
RNAcentral lists this ribosomal RNA (484 nucleotides) under uncultured bacterium. RNAcentral's name for it is "partial 16S ribosomal RNA". It matches the Rfam family "Bacterial small subunit ribosomal RNA", at positions 28 to 523 of the family's 1533-position model. The record is from RNAcentral.